RNAcentral lists this unclassified non-coding RNA (345 nucleotides) under soil metagenome. Its description in RNAcentral is "partial contains 5.8S ribosomal RNA, internal transcribed spacer 2, and large subunit ribosomal RNA". The stretch from base 1 to 120 matches the Rfam family "5.8S ribosomal RNA", at positions 35 to 154 of the family's 154-position model. The record is from RNAcentral.
GAUGAAGAACGUAGCGAAAUGCGAUACGUAAUGUGAAUUGCAGAAUUCAGUGAAUCAUCGAGUCUUUGAACGCACAUUGCGCCCUCUGGUAUUCCGGAGGGCAUGCCUGUCCGAGCGUCAUUGCUGCCCUCAAGCACGGCUUGUGUGUUGGGCUCCGUCCCCCGAUCCCGGGGGACGGGCCCGAAAGGCAGCGGCAGCACCGCGUCCUGUCCUCGAGCGUAUGGGGCUUUGUCACCCGCUCUGUAGGCCCGGCCGGCGCUUGCCGAUCAACCAAAUUUUUAUCCAGGUUGACCUCGGAUCAGGUAGGGAUACCCGCUGAACUUAAGCAUAUCAAUAAGCGGAGGA